ACGUUGUCCUUGUGGCAGUGUUUAGACUAGAGCAUCUACUUCUGAUUUUCAGUGUUACACGUGAAGAAUUCGUUGUUUUGUUAUUAUUUACUUAUUAAUUAGGUCUAUUAGUUACUUUUUACUUUAUAUUCUUUAAGAUUUGCGUUACAUCUUCGACUUUUUAACUUCAGUGGCGAUUCGACUAACUUGAGUUGGUCAGUUAUCUUCGCACGGUUGGCGGGGCCAGUGUUGAGGACUCAACAAGACGGAUCCUUGUAAGACUAUUCAAAAAUGAGCUUGCGAGAGAAUUUAGUUGGGAAGGAAGAGGAGGAAAGAAGUGGAGUCUGCAGAACUCUGCAUUGGUGCAGUUGAUUUGCCGUGUAGUUCGUCAACAACAUCCUCAUUCGAUCUCACAACGUUUGAGAAAAAAACCAGCGAAUGGUUACGCCAAGCAGGAACAAGGAUUUAUGUCAAAAAUAAAAAUUUAGGCCUACCGCAGAUGAUCAAUUAAAUCGUU
Long non-coding RNA from Macrosteles quadrilineatus (aster leafhopper), 496 nucleotides. RefSeq lists it as uncharacterized. The transcript has 3 exons. The record is from RefSeq and is a predicted model, not a curated record. Lineage: Eukaryota; Metazoa; Arthropoda; Insecta; Hemiptera; Cicadellidae.